GCAGUCGAACGAGUUCUGAUUAUUGAAAGGUGCUUGCAUCUUGAUUUAAUUUUGAACGAGUGGCGGACGGGUGAGUAACACGUGGGUAACCUGCCCUUAAGUGGGGGAUAACAUUUGGAAACAGAUGCUAAUACCGCAUAAAUCCAAGAACCGCAUGGUUCUUGGCUGAAAGAUGGCGUAAGCUAUCGCUUUUGGAUGGACCCGCGGCGUAUUAGCUAGUUGGUGAGGUAACGGCUCACCAAGGCAAUGAUACGUAGCCGAACUGAGAGGUUGAUCGGCCACAUUGGGACUGAGACACGGCCCAAACUCCUACGGGAGGCAGCAGUAGGGAAUCUUCCACAAUGGACGCAAGUCUGAUGGAGCAACGCCGCGUGAGUGAAGAAGGCUUUCGGGUCGUAAAACUCUGUUGUUGGAGAAGAAUGGUCGGCAGAGUAACUGUUGUCGGCGUGACGGUAUCCAACCAGAAAGCCACGGCUAACUACGUGCCAGCAGCCGCGGUAAUACGUAGGUGGCAAGCGUUAUCCGGAUUUAUUGGGCGUAAAGCGAGCGCAGGCGGUUUUUUAAGUCUGAUGUGAAAGCCCUCGGCUUAACCGAGGAAGUGCAUCGGAAACUGGGAAACUUGAGUGCAGAAGAGGACAGUGGAACUCCAUGUGUAGCGGUGAAAUGCGUAGAUAUAUGGAAGAACACCAGUGGCGAAGGCGGCUGUCUGGUCUGUAACUGACGCUGAGGCUCGAAAGCAUGGGUAGCGAACAGGAUUAGAUACCCUGGUAGUCCAUGCCGUAAACGAUGAAUGCUAGGUGUUGGAGGGUUUCCGCCCUUCAGUGCCGCAGCUAACGCAUUAAGCAUUCCGCCUGGGGAGUACGACCGCAAGGUUGAAACUCAAAGGAAUUGACGGGGGCCCGCACAAGCGGUGGAGCAUGUGGUUUAAUUCGAAGCAACGCGAAGAACCUUACCAGGUCUUGACAUCUUUUGAUCACCUGAGAGAUCAGGUUUCCCCUUCGGGGGCAAAAUGACAGGUGGUGCAUGGUUGUCGUCAGCUCGUGUCGUGAGAUGUUGGGUUAAGUCCCGCAACGAGCGCAACCCUUAUGACUAGUUGCCAGCAUUUAGUUGGGCACUCUAGUAAGACUGCCGGUGACAAACCGGAGGAAGGUGGGGAUGACGUCAAAUCAUCAUGCCCCUUAUGACCUGGGCUACACACGUGCUACAAUGGAUGGUACAACGAGUUGCGAGACCGCGAGGUCAAGCUAAUCUCUUAAAGCCAUUCUCAGUUCGGACUGUAGGCUGCAACUCGCCUACACGAAGUCGGAAUCGCUAGUAAUCGCGGAUCAGCACGCCGCGGUGAAUACGUUCCCGGGCCUUGUACACACCGCCCGUCACACCAUGAGAGUUUGUAACACCCGAAGCCGGUGGCGUAACCC
This 1418-nucleotide ribosomal RNA is filed under the name Lacticaseibacillus rhamnosus. RNAcentral's name for it is "bacterial SSU rRNA". It matches the Rfam family "Bacterial small subunit ribosomal RNA". The record is from RNAcentral. Lineage: Bacteria; Bacillati; Bacillota; Bacilli; Lactobacillales; Lactobacillaceae.